This 442-nucleotide ribosomal RNA is filed under the name uncultured bacterium. RNAcentral's name for it is "partial 16S ribosomal RNA". It matches the Rfam family "Bacterial small subunit ribosomal RNA", at positions 338 to 795 of the family's 1533-position model. The record is from RNAcentral.
CCUACGGGAGGCAGCAGUGGGGACUAUUGCACAAUGGGCGAAAGCCUGAUGCAGCAACGCCGCGUGAAGGAAGAAGGCUUUCGGGUUGUAAACUUCUUUUGUCAGGGAAGAGUAGAAGACGGUACCUGACGAAUAAGCCACGGCUAACUACGUGCCAGCAGCCGCGGUAAUACGUAGGUGGCAAGCGUUGUCCGGAUUUACUGGGUGUAAAGGGCGUGUAGCCGGGUUGACAAGUCAGAUGUGAAAUCCUGCGGCUUAACCGCAGAACUGCAUUUGAAACUGUUGAUCUUGAGUACUGGAGAGGCAGACGGAAUUCCUAGUGUAGCGGUGAAAUGCGUAGAUAUUAGGAGGAACACCAGUGGCGAAGGCGGUCUGCUGGACAGCAACUGACGGUGAGGCGCGAAAGCGUGGGGAGCAAACAGGAUUAGAUACCCCAGUAGUC